AGUGCCGGAAGGUUAAAAGGAGAAGUCAGCGCAAGCAAAGCUUUGAAUUGAAGCCCCGGUGAACGGCGGCCGUAACUAUAACGGUCCUAAGGUAGCGAAAUUCCUUGUCAGGUAAAUUCUGACCCGCACGAAAGGUGUAAUGAUCCCUUCGCUGUCUCGGCUGCAGACUCGGUGAAAUUUUAGUACCGGUGAAGAUGCCGGUUACCCGCAACUAGACGGAAAGACCCCGUGGAGCUUUACUAUAACUUGAUAUUGAAAUUUGGUAUAACGUGUAGAGGAUAGGUGGGAGACUGUGAGACUAGGACGCUAGUUCUAGUGGAGUCAACCUUGGAAUACCACCCUCGUUAUAUUGGAUUUCUAACUUGAAUCCAUUAUCUGGAUUAAGGACAGUGUCUGGUGGGUAGUUUGACUGGGGCGGUCGCCUCCCAAAAAGUAACGGAGGCGCUCAAAGGUAUCCUCAGUAUGGUUGGAAAUCAUACAUAGAGCGCAAAGGUAGAAGGAUGCUUAACUGCGAGACUUACAAGUCGAACAGAUACGAAAGUAGGACUUAGUGAUCCGGCGGUCCCGUGUGGAAGGGCCGUCGCUCAACGGAUAAAAGUUACCCCGGGGAUAACAGGCUUAUCUCCCCCAAGAGUUCACAUCGACGGGGAGGUUUGGCACCUCGAUGUCGGCUCAUCGCAUCCUGGAGCUGUAGUCGGUUCCAAGGGUUGGGCUGUUCGCCCAUUAAAGCGGUACGCGAGCUGGGUUCAGAACGUCGUGAGACAGU
Molecule: ribosomal RNA, 766 nt
Filed under: Mycoplasma capricolum subsp. capricolum
Lineage: Bacteria; Bacillati; Mycoplasmatota; Mollicutes; Mycoplasmatales; Mycoplasmataceae
Description: bacterial LSU rRNA
Rfam family: Bacterial large subunit ribosomal RNA
Source: RNAcentral